RNAcentral lists this ribosomal RNA (527 nucleotides) under Macrophoma sp. LYZ2007. RNAcentral's name for it is "eukaryotic LSU rRNA". The stretch from base 160 to 313 matches the Rfam family "5.8S ribosomal RNA". Lineage: Eukaryota; Fungi; Ascomycota; Dothideomycetes; Botryosphaeriales; Botryosphaeriaceae. The record is from RNAcentral.
GGCCUGCGGAAGGAUCAUUACCUAGAGUUGUGGGCUUUGCCCGCCAUCUCUUACCCAUGUCUUUUGAGUACCUACGUUUCCUCGGCGGGUCCGCCUGCCGUUUGGACAAUCUAAAACCAUUUGCAGUUGCAAUCAGCGUCUGAAAAACACAAUAGUUACAACUUUCAACAACGGAUCUCUUGGUUCUGGCAUCGAUGAAGAACGCAGCGAAAUGCGAUAAGUAGUGUGAAUUGCAGAAUUCAGUGAAUCAUCGAAUCUUUGAACGCACAUUGCGCCCCUUGGUAUUCCAUGGGGCAUGCCUGUUCGAGCGUCAUUUGUACCUUCAAGCUCUGCUUGGUGUUGGGUGUUUGUCUCGCCUUUGCGUGUAGACUCGCCUUAAAGCAAUUGGCAGCCGGCGUAUUGAUUUCGGAGCGCAGUACAUCUCGCGCUCUGCCCUCAUCACGGCGGCAUCCAAAAGUACAUUUUUACACUCUUGACCUCGGAUCAGGUAGGGAUACCCGCUGAACUUAAGCAUAUCAAAAUGGCGG